CCGGGGCGGCCGGCAACGGCGCAUCUGGAUCUGGAUCGGAGCCAGCGGACGGCAGCGGGCGCGAGGCGCGCGACGGUGCUACGGGGCAGGAUGCGAGGGGGGCGACGACAGAUGGCUUGAAUGGUGGAGGUGGCAGCGGCGGGGUAUGCGCGAGCGUCGCGAGAGCGGGUGCCAUGGUCACUCACUGACGGAGAACCACGAAACUUUCAGCCUGAGCACCGAUCCCCUUUUCUCUACCUCCGGCGCCCAAGUUCGCUGCCGCCUCCGCCGUCUUCGCGCGCCGCCGGCCACCUACUCGAGCUCCUCUCCCGAUCCUCCGGCGGUCUGGUCAAACCAGCCACUUACUUUCCCUCUCCCUUGGGUUUGUCCCUUCUGACAUCUUAUUAAACAGUGACGGGUUGACUGAGAUCUGAAUGCGGCGAUCGGCUGAUCACUGGAGCAAUCUGCUUCUUCGAGAUGAUUGCUUUGGCUCUUGAGUUUCAUUUCUUGCUCAAGGAUUGGUUUUGAAAGCCUGCAAGUUUGCAACACUUCCCAAGGAAUCACUGUAUUUUUGGUGGAUCAACCUCAUCAAGUUUGCCUCAUGGCAGCCAUACUGGGUUCUCUUGUUGGAUCAUGUGCCAAAAAAUUGCAAGAAGUUAUUACAGAAGAGGCUGUUCUGAUUCUAGGGGUAAAAGAAGACCUCAGAGAACUGCAUCGGAUAAUGAUCCAAAUACGAUGCUUCCUUAAUGAUGCUGAGGCAAGGAGGACAGAAGAGACAUCAGUUAACAAUUGGCUUGGGGAGCUAAGAGAUGCUAUGUAUUAUGCUGAUGAUAUUAUUGACCUGGCAAGAUCUGAAGGAGGUAAGCGCUACUAGCGGAACGUCCUUCAUCAUCAGGAAAGCCAACUAAAUGUAGUGGUAUUUCGUUUUCCACCUGCAUUCCUGUUGUUCAGAAGCGUCAUAAGAUUGCUGUUCAAAUACGAGACUUCAAUGCCGAUCUUGAGAUUGAGAAGAUUUCAAAGUCGGGUGAAAGAUUUUUAAAGCUUCAGAAUAUGCAACCUAAAGCAGAAGUUCGGACUCUGAAGCAUAUGGGAACUAGUCACCUUGUGGAGCCUAAUCUUGUGGGAAAGCACACUUUACGUGUCAUCAGGGAUUUGCACAACUGGGAGGAUUGGUCCUUUAUUGAAGAUGCAGCAGGAGCAGCAGCCAUAGAAGAGUGUGGGGAUAUAUAUGCCGAGAUGCGAAAAGGGGAAGCCCUGUCUCCAAGGUUGCAUCUGCUGCCCCGGUUGAAGAAGAUGGAACUUGGGGGCUGCCCCAAGCUGAGGGCUCUCCCACGACAGCUUGGACGACAACAUGCCACCAGCUUGAAAGAGCUCCAUUUAAGAGGAGCAAGUUGCUUGAAGGUGGAGGAGGACCUCCAGUUCCUCUCUGAGAAACUUCUGAUUGUAGGUUGUGACUUGUGAGGGCCUGGAAAGAGUAUCGAACCUUCCUCAAGUGAGAGAGUUACGGCUACAUGAUUCUCCAAACCUGAGGCGUGUUGAGGGGUUGGGUAGUUUGCAACAGCUGUGGUUGACCAAGAAUAUGUGUGACAUCCCUUUGCUUUGGGUGUCGGGGCUUCAAGAGCAGCACCGCGAGCUUCACGGCGAAGACAUGGAUGUCUGCACGUGGUGUAAAGGCUGAGACAAACCCAGUGAGAUGGCAACAGAGACACGGAAUACACCCCUUUCAGUAAGAAUGGCAAAAUGCCCUGGCAGAAGCACAACAAAGCGACAUGUGUCCCUUUCCGCCAAUGCUCAUGGUGGAAAGCACUUUCCGCCAUACCUUAUGGCGGAAUGUACACGUGUCAUCUGACCAGAAGUCAUGAGUGACAAGAAGAAGUCAGCAAAGAAAUGGCAAGAGAAGCUAGAUAAGCAGUCAGAGAAAUCAGAAUAAAUGAAAAGAAAGAGAGAAGCUGCAUUUGUUCCACCAAAGG
Molecule: long non-coding RNA, 1949 nt
Organism: Triticum dicoccoides
Lineage: Eukaryota; Viridiplantae; Streptophyta; Magnoliopsida; Poales; Poaceae
Exons: 3
Source: RefSeq, a predicted model, not a curated record